This 460-nucleotide ribosomal RNA is filed under the name uncultured bacterium. Its description in RNAcentral is "partial 16S ribosomal RNA". It matches the Rfam family "Bacterial small subunit ribosomal RNA", at positions 338 to 795 of the family's 1533-position model. The record is from RNAcentral.
CCUACGGGUGGCAGCAGUGAGGAAUCUUCGUCAAUGGGCGUAAGCCUGAACCAGCCAAGUCGCGUGAGGGAUGAAGGUUCUAUGGAUCGUAAACCUCUUUUAUAAGGGAAUAAAGUGUGGGUCGUGUCCUGUUUUGUAUGUACCUUAAGAAUAAGGAACGGCUAACUCCGUGCCAGUCGCCGCGGUAAUACGGAGGAUCCGUGCUUUAUCCGGAUUUAUUGGGUUUAAAGGGAACGUAGGCGGCCUUUUAAGUCAGCUGUGAUAGUCUGUGGCUCAACCAUAGAAUUGCCGUUGAAACUGGGGGGCUUGAGUAUGUUAGAGGCAGGCGGAAUGCGUGGUGUAGCGGUGAAAUGCUUAGAUAUCACGCAGAACCCCGAUGGCGAAGGCAGCCUGCCAAGCCAUGACUGACGCUGAUGCACGAAAGCGUGGGGAUCAAACAGGAUUAGAUACCCGAGUAGUC